Molecule: ribosomal RNA, 450 nt
Filed under: uncultured bacterium
Lineage: Bacteria
Description: partial 16S ribosomal RNA
Rfam family: Bacterial small subunit ribosomal RNA
Source: RNAcentral
GUGGGGAAUAUUGGACAAUGGGGGGAACCCUGAUCCAGCCAUGCCGCGUGUGUGAAGAAGGCCUUUUGGUUGUAAAGCACUUUAAGCGAGGAGGAGGCUACCGAGAUUAAUACUCUUGGAUAGUGGACGUACUCGCAGAAUAAGCACCGGCUAACUCUGUGCCAGCAGCCGCGGUAAUACAGAGGGUGCAAGCGUUAAUCGGAUUUACUGGGCGUAAAGCGCGCGUAGGUGGCCAAUUAAGUCAAAUGUGAAAUCCCCUAGCUUAACUUGGGAAUUGCAUUCGAUACUGGUUGGCUAGAGUAUGGGAGAGGAUGGUAGAAUUCCAGGUGCAGCGGUGAAAUGCGUAGAGAUCUGGAGGAAUACCGAUGGCGAAGGCAGCCAUCUGGCCUAAUACUGACACUGAGGUGCGAAAGCAUGGGGAGCAAACAGGAUUAGAAACCCUGGUAGUCC